GACGUAGGGCGCGAGCGUUGUCCGGAUUUAUUGGGCGUAAAGAGCUCGUAGGCGGCUUGUCGCGUCGACUGUGAAAACCCGUGGCUCAACCAUGUGGUCUGCAGUCGAUACGGGCAGGCUAGAAUUCGGUAGGGGAGACUGGAAUUCCUGGUGUAGCGGUGAAAUGCGCAGAUAUCAGGAGGAACACCGGUGGCGAAGGCGGGUCUCUGGGCCGAUAUUGACGCUGAGGCGCGAAAGCUAGGGGAGCGAACAGG
Molecule: ribosomal RNA, 254 nt
Filed under: uncultured bacterium
Lineage: Bacteria
Description: partial 16S ribosomal RNA
Rfam family: Bacterial small subunit ribosomal RNA
Source: RNAcentral